GAUGAACGCUGGCGGCGUGCCUAAUACAUGCAAGUCGAGCGAACAGACGAGGAGCUUGCUCCUCUGACGUUAGCGGCGGACGGGUGAGUAACACGUGGAUAACCUACCUAUAAGACUGGGAUAACUUCGGGAAACCGGAGCUAAUACCGGAUAAUAUAUUGAACCGCAUGGUUCAAUAGUGAAAGACGGUUUUGCUGUCACUUAUAGAUGGAUCCGCUCCGAAUUAGCUAGUUGGUAAGGUAACGGCUUACCAAGGCGACGAUGCGUAGCCGACCUGAGAGGGUGAUCGGCCACACUGGAACUGAGACACGGUCCAGACUCCUACGGGAGGCAGCAGUAGGGAAUCUUCCGCAAUGGGCGAAAGCCUGACGGAGCAAAGCCGCGUGGGUGAUGAAGGUCUUCGGAUCGUAAAACUCUGUUAUUAGGGAAGAACAAAUGUGUAAGUAACUAUGCACGUCUUGACGGUACCUAAUCAGAAAGAAACGGCUAACUACGUG
This 497-nucleotide ribosomal RNA is filed under the name uncultured bacterium. Its description in RNAcentral is "partial 16S ribosomal RNA". It matches the Rfam family "Bacterial small subunit ribosomal RNA", at positions 28 to 507 of the family's 1533-position model. The record is from RNAcentral.